CCUACGGGAGGCAGCAGUGGGGAAUUGUUCGCAAUGGGCGCAAGCCUGACGACGCAACGCCGCGUGGAGGAUGAAGAAUUUCGGUUCGUAAACUCCUUUCGAUCGGGAAGAACAGCUCUUGAGUUAAUAGCUUGGGAGUCUGACGGUACCGAGAGAAGAAGCCCCGGCUAACUCUGCGCCAGCAGCCGCGGUAAUACAGGGGGGGUCAAGCGUUGUUCGGAAUUACUGGGCGUAAAGGGCUCGUAGGCGGCCAACUAAGUCCGACGUGAAAUCCCAAAGCUUAACUUUGGAACUGCGUCGGAUACUGGAUGGCUUGAAUUCGGGAGAGGGAUGCAGAAUUCCAGGUGUAGCGGUGAAAUGCGUAGAUAUCUGGAGGAAUACCGGUGGCGAAGGCGGCAUCCUGGACCGACAUUGACGCUGAGGAGCGAAAGCUAGGGGAGCAAACGGGGAUUAGAUACCCCGGUAGUCCUAGCCCUAAACGAUGAAUGCUUGGUGUGGCGGUAUCGAUCCUCGCGUCGCGACGCUACGCAUAAGACAUCCGCCGUCGGGUAGGUACGGUCGCGACGGCGUGAACGUUAAACGGUAAGUUAGACGGACGUGAGACGUAGCCGACGGACGACGACGACGGGAGGUUAGG
This 637-nucleotide ribosomal RNA is filed under the name uncultured bacterium. RNAcentral's name for it is "bacterial SSU rRNA". The stretch from base 1 to 543 matches the Rfam family "Bacterial small subunit ribosomal RNA", at positions 338 to 873 of the family's 1533-position model. The record is from RNAcentral.